Molecule: ribosomal RNA, 649 nt
Filed under: uncultured bacterium
Lineage: Bacteria
Description: bacterial SSU rRNA
Rfam family: Bacterial small subunit ribosomal RNA
Source: RNAcentral
UGAGGUGCGAAAGCGUGGGUAGCAAACAGGAUUAGAUACCCUGGUAGUCCACGCCGUAAACGAUGUCGACCAGCCGUUGGGUGCCUAGCGCACUUUGUGGCGAAGUUAACGCGAUAAGUCGACCGCCUGGGGAGUACGGCCGCAAGGUUAAAACUCAAAUGAAUUGACGGGGGCCCGCACAAGCGGUGGAGCAUGUGGUUUAAUUCGAUGCAACGCGAAGAACCUUACCUACUCUUGACAUCCUGCGAAUUUGGUAGAGAUACCUUAGUGCCUUCGGGAACGCAGAGACAGGUGCUGCAUGGCUGUCGUCAGCUCGUGUUGUGAAAUGUUGGGUUAAGUCCCGUAACGAGCGCAACCCUUGUCCUUAUUUGCCAGCGCGUAAUGGCGGGAACUCUAAGGAGACUGCCGGUGACAAACCGGAGGAAGGUGGGGACGACGUCAAGUCAUCAUGGCCCUUACGAGUAGGGCUACACACGUGCUACAAUGGUCGGUACAAAGGGUUGCCAACUCGCGAGAGUGAGCCAAUCCCGAAAAGCCGAUCUCAGUCCGGAUCGGAGUCUGCAACUCGACUCCGUGAAGUCGGAAUCGCUAGUAAUCGUGGAUCAGAAUGCCACGGUGAAUACGUUCCCGGGCCUUGUACACUCCGCCC